Molecule: ribosomal RNA, 367 nt
Filed under: uncultured prokaryote
Description: partial 16S ribosomal RNA
Source: RNAcentral
CCCUAUGGGGUGCAGCAGGCCUUUGCCGCAGGGGCCAUGGACUAUAUCGUCAAGCCGUAUCCGAAGGCCGAGAUCCUCACUCGAGUGGCUUCGGCACUGCGCCUGAAAAGGGAGAUCGAUCUUCGAAAGGAGAGGGAAGAUGAGCUUUUCGAGCUGUCCAGGGAGUUGGAAGAGGCUUAUGAGCGGUUGAAGCUCAUCGCCACUCUGGAUGCGCUCACCUCGAUCCCCAAUCGGCGGUCCUUCGAUGAAAAGCUCGCCAGGGAAUGGCGUCGUUGCGCUCGCAGCCACAGCCCGCUUUCCCUGAUCCUCGUGGAUAUCGAUUUCUUCAAAGCCUUCAACGAUCACGAUGGACAUCAGGCGGGGGGGC